UUCUCCCUCACGCCGCUCCUCGCGCCCGUUCGCAUCUCGCUGGUCGCUCUUUGCCCGCACCCCGUAGCGGCGCAGCUCGCUCGCAGGUCGCUCGUCGCCCUCUCGCUCUCUCCCUCGUCGUCGUUCCCUGCUCCGCCGUAUCCAUGGCGAACUUCGGCGGGUAAGAGGUCACAUGUGGUGGGUUUCGUCCUCAAUCUUGACCCUCUCUCCUCCUCUCUGCCCUCAAUCUCCCCCUCUUCUCUAUCAGAUUUGGUGGUUCCCGCCCUCAAUCUGCAUCUGUUCCCUUGUUCUUGAUCUCUGAGCGUGAGAGGCAAUUCCUCCCCGACUGCUCCGCGUCUUUUGUCUGUCAUUCUCAUCGCCGGCUAGCGCACCCUCCGGGGCUCCGGUCUCCGUUGAGGUACCGGGGGUGUGCUCACGGUCCUUCCCGUCGUCUC
RNAcentral lists this long non-coding RNA (434 nucleotides) under Sorghum bicolor (sorghum). RNAcentral describes it as "long non-coding RNA (SBIC_LNC002284)". The record is from RNAcentral. Lineage: Eukaryota; Viridiplantae; Streptophyta; Magnoliopsida; Poales; Poaceae.